AUUGAACGCUGGCGGCAGGCUUAACACAUGCAAGUCGAGCGGUAGCACAGGGGAGCUUGCUCCCUGGGUGACGAGCGGCGGACGGGUGAGUAAUGUCUGGGAAACUGCCUGAUGGAGGGGGAUAACUACUGGAAACGGUAGCUAAUACCGCAUAACGUCGCAAGACCAAAGAGGGGGACCUUCGGGCCUCUUGCCAUCAGAUGUGCCCAGAUGGGAUUAGCUAGUAGGUGGGGUAAUGGCUCACCUAGGCGACGAUCCCUAGCUGGUCUGAGAGGAUGACCAGCCACACUGGAACUGAGACACGGUCCAGACUCCUACGGGAGGCAGCAGUGGGGAAUAUUGCACAAUGGGCGCAAGCCUGAUGCAGCCAUGCCGCGUGUGUGAAGAAGGCCUUCGGGUUGUAAAGCACUUUCAGCGAGGAGGAAGGUGGUGAGCUUAAUACGCUCAUCAAUUGACGUUACUCGCAGAAGAAGCACCGGCUAACUCCGUGCCAGCAGCCGCGGUAAUACGGAGGGUGCAAGCGUUAAUCGGAAUUACUGGGCGUAAAGCGCACGCAGGCGGUUUGUUAAGUCAGAUGUGAAAUCCCCGGGCUCAACCUGGGAACUGCAUUUGAAACUGGCAAGCUAGAGUCUCGUAGAGGGGGGUAGAAUUCCAGGUGUAGCGGUGAAAUGCGUAGAGAUCUGGAGGAAUACCGGUGGCGAAGGCGGCCCCCUGGACGAAGACUGACGCUCAGGUGCGAAAGCGUGGGGGGCAAACAGGAUUAGAUACCCUGGUAGUCCACGCUGUAAACGAUGUCGAUUUGGAGGUUGUGCCCUUGAGGCGUGGCUUCCGGAGCUAACGCGUUAAAUCGACCGCCUGGGGAGUACGGCCGCAAGGUUAAAACUCAAAUGAAUUGACGGGGGCCCGCACAAGCGGUGGAGCAUGUGGUUUAAUUCGAUGCAACGCGAAGAACCUUACCUACUCUUGACAUCCAGAGGACUUAGCAGAGAUGUUUUGGUGCCUUCGGGAACUCUGAGACAGGUGCUGCAUGGCUGUCGUCAGCUCGUGUUGUGAAAUGUUGGGUUAAGUCCCGCAACGAGCGCAACCCUUAUCCUUUGUUGCCAGCGGUUCGGCCGGGAACUCAAAGGAGACUGCCAGUGAUAAACUGGAGGAAGGUGGGGAUGACGUCAAGUCAUCAUGGCCCUUACGAGUAGGGCUACACACGUGCUACAAUGGCAUAUACAAAGAGAAGCGACCUCGCGAGAGCAAGCGGACCUCAUAAAGUAUGUCGUAGUCCGGAUUGGAGUCUGCAACUCGACUCCAUGAAGUCGGAAUCGCUAGUAAUCGUAGAUCAGAAUGCUACGGUGAAUACGUUCCCGGGCCU
Molecule: ribosomal RNA, 1363 nt
Filed under: uncultured bacterium
Lineage: Bacteria
Description: bacterial SSU rRNA
Rfam family: Bacterial small subunit ribosomal RNA
Source: RNAcentral